ANACNUGCAGUCGAGCGAACGGAUAAGGAGCUUGCUCCUUUGAAGUUAGCGGCGGACGGGUGAGUAACACGUGGGUAACCUACCUAUAAGACUGGAAUAACUUCGGGAAACCGGAGCUAAUGCCGGAUAACAUAUAGAACCGCAUGGUUCUAUAGUGAAAGAUGGUUUUGCUAUCACUUAUAGAUGGACCCGCGCCGUAUUAGCUAGUUGGUAAGGUAAUGGCUUACCAAGGCGACGAUACGUAGCCGACCUGAGAGGGUGAUCGGCCACACUGGAACUGAGACACGGUCCAGACUCCUACGGGAGGCAGCAGUAGGGAAUCUUCCGCAAUGGGCGAAAGCCUGACGGAGCAACGCCGCGUGAGUGAUGAAGGUUUUCGGAUCGUAAAACUCUGUUAUUAGGGAAGAACAAAUGCGUAAGUAACUGUGCGCAUCUUGACGGUACCUAAUCAGAAAGCCACGGCUAACUACGUGCCAGCAGCCGCGGUAAUACGUAGGUGGCAAGCGUUAUCCGGAAUUAUUGGGCGUAAAGCGCGCGUAGGCGGUUUCUUAAGUCUGAUGUGAAAGCCCACGGCUCAACCGUGGAGGGUCAUUGGAAACUGGGAAACUUGAGUGCAGAAGAGGAAAGUGGAAUUCCAUGUGUAGCGGUGAAAUGCGCAGAGAUAUGGAGGAACACCAGUGGCGAAGGCGACUUUCUGGUCUGUAACUGACGCUGAUGUGCGAAAGCGUGGGGAUCAAACAGGAUUAGAUACCCUGGUAGUCCACGCCGUAAACGAUGAGUGCUAAGUGUUAGGGGGUUUCCGCCCCUUAGUGCUGCACCUAACGCAUUAAGCACUCCGCCUGGGGANUACNACCGCANGGUUGAAACUCAAAGGAANNNACGGGGACCCGCACANNCGG
This 899-nucleotide ribosomal RNA is filed under the name Staphylococcus succinus. RNAcentral's name for it is "bacterial SSU rRNA". It matches the Rfam family "Bacterial small subunit ribosomal RNA", at positions 51 to 932 of the family's 1533-position model. Lineage: Bacteria; Bacillati; Bacillota; Bacilli; Caryophanales; Staphylococcaceae. The record is from RNAcentral.